Molecule: ribosomal RNA, 433 nt
Filed under: uncultured bacterium
Lineage: Bacteria
Description: partial 16S ribosomal RNA
Rfam family: Bacterial small subunit ribosomal RNA
Source: RNAcentral
AGCGAACGCUGGCGGCAGGCCUAACACAUGCAAGUCGAACGAACUCUUCGGAGUUAGUGGCGGACGGGUGAGUAACACGUGGGAACGUGCCUUUUGGUUCGGAAUAACUCAGGGAAACUUGUGCUAAUACCGAAUGUGCCCUUCGGGGGAAAGAUUUAUCGCCAUUAGAGCGGCCCGCGUCUGAUUAGCUAGUUGGUGAGGUAACGGCUCACCAAGGCGACGAUCAGUAGCUGGUCUGAGAGGAUGACCAGCCACACUGGGACUGAGACACGGCCCAGACUCCUACGGGAGGCAGCAGUGGGGAAUCUUGCGCAAUGGGCGAAAGCCUGACGCAGCCAUGCCGCGUGAAUGAUGAAGGUCUUAGGAUUGUAAAAUUCUUUCACCGGGGACGAUAAUGACGGUAUCCGGAGAAGAAGCCCCGGCUAACUUCGUG